AUGAAGCGCCUCUUCAGACGCCUCUCCCGCGUCGCCGCGGCCGACUCCUCCUCCGCGGCCGCCGCCACGCAGGCCGCGUCGGCGGCCGGCGGCGCCAAGGUGCCGCAGGGGCACGUGCCGGUGUGCGUCGGCGAGGAGGGCGGGCCCGUGGAGCGGUUCGCGGUGCGCGCGGACCUGCUGGGCCGGCCGGCCUUCGCGGCGCUGCUCCUCCGCGCCGCCCAGGAGUACGGGUACGGCCACCCCGGCGCGCUCCGCAUCCCCUGCCCCGUCGCCGACUUCCGCCGCCUCCUCGUCCGCCUCUCCGACGACCCCUACGCCGACGAGUGCUAG
Molecule: ribosomal RNA, 330 nt
Filed under: Triticum aestivum (bread wheat)
Lineage: Eukaryota; Viridiplantae; Streptophyta; Magnoliopsida; Poales; Poaceae
Description: partial small subunit ribosomal RNA
Source: RNAcentral